UACGAAGGGUGCAAGCGUUACUCGGAAUUAUUGGGCGUAAAGGGCUCGUAGGCGGUUUGUCGCGUCGGGAGUGAAAUCCACUGGCUUAACUGGUGGCUUGCUUUCGAUACGGGCAGACUGGAGGUAUGCAGGGGAGAACGGAAUUCCUGGUGUAGCGGUGAAAUGCGCAGAUAUCGGAAGGAACAUCAGUGGCGAAAGCGGCUUCCUGGACCAGCACCGACGUUCAGGCACGAAAGCGUGGGGAGCAAACGGG
RNAcentral lists this ribosomal RNA (253 nucleotides) under uncultured bacterium. RNAcentral describes it as "partial 16S ribosomal RNA". It matches the Rfam family "Bacterial small subunit ribosomal RNA", at positions 524 to 776 of the family's 1533-position model. The record is from RNAcentral.